This 465-nucleotide ribosomal RNA is filed under the name uncultured bacterium. RNAcentral's name for it is "partial 16S ribosomal RNA". It matches the Rfam family "Bacterial small subunit ribosomal RNA", at positions 28 to 507 of the family's 1533-position model. The record is from RNAcentral.
GAUGAACGCUGGCGGCGUGCUUAACACAUGCAAGUCGAACGGAAAGGCCCCUGCUUGCAGGGGUACUCGAGUGGCGAAAGGGGGAGUAACACGUGGGGGAUCUGGCCUGCACUUCGGGAUAAGCCUGGGGAACUGGGGCUAAUACCGGGUAGGGCGAUGGGUUGGAUGGCCUUGUGGGAAGUUUUUCGGGGUGGGGUGGGCUCGCGGCCUAUCAGCUUGUUGGUGGGGUAAUGGCCUACCAAGGCGUCGACGGGUAGCCGGCCUGAGAGGGGGUACGGCCACAUUGGGACUGAGAUACGGCCCAGACUCCUACGGGAGGCAGCAGUGGGGAAUAUUGCACAAUGGGCGCAAGCCUGAUGCAGCGACGCCGCGUGGGGGAUGACGGCCUUCGGGUUGUAAACUCCUUUCGCUAGGGACGAAGCGCAAGUGACGGUACCUGGAGAAGAAGCACCGGCUAACUACGUG